AGCAGCCGCGGUAAUUCCAGCUCCAAUAGCGUAUAUUAAAGUUGUUGCAGUUAAAAAGCUCGUAGUUGAAUUUCGGGAUCAAGGAAUCGGUCAUGCCUUGGUAUGUACUGGUUUUAUUGGUUCUCACCUUCUAAAGAACUAUAAUGUCAUUUAUUUGAUGUUAUGGGGAAUUAGGACUGUUACCUUGAAAAAAUUAGAGUGUUUAAAGCAAGCUUACGCUUGAAUACAUUAGCAUGGAAUAAUGAAAUAGGACAUCAGAUUCUAUUUUGUUGGUUUCUAGGAUCGAUGUAAUGAUUAAUAGGGAUAGUUGGGGGCAUUAGUAUUCAAUUGUCAGAGGUGAAAUUCUUGGAUUUAUUGAAGACUAACUACUGCGAAAGCAUUUGCCAAGGAUGUUUUCAUUAAUCAAGAACGAAAGUUAGGGGAUCGAAGACGAUCAGAUACCGUCGUAGUCUUAACCAUAAACUAUGCCGACUAGGGAUCGGAUGAUGUUAAUUUUUUAAUGACUCA
RNAcentral lists this ribosomal RNA (507 nucleotides) under uncultured Glomus. RNAcentral describes it as "SSU rRNA". It matches the Rfam family "Eukaryotic small subunit ribosomal RNA", at positions 569 to 1078 of the family's 1831-position model. The record is from RNAcentral. Lineage: Eukaryota; Fungi; Glomeromycota; Glomeromycetes; Glomerales; Glomeraceae.